Gossypium hirsutum (cotton) is the source of this 119-nucleotide non-coding RNA. Lineage: Eukaryota; Viridiplantae; Streptophyta; Magnoliopsida; Malvales; Malvaceae. The record is from Rfam.
GGGUGCGACCAUACCAACACUAACGCACCGGAUCAUAUCAAAACUCAAAAGUUAAGCAUGCUUGGGCAAGAGUCGUACUAGGAUGGCUGACCUCCUGUAAAGGCCUCGUGUUGCACCCC